CGCACCUUGCGCUCCUUGGUAUUCCGAGGAGCAUGCCUGUUUGAGUGUCAUGAAAUUCUCAACCUUUCUAGUUUUUUGGCUAGUUAGGCUUGGAUCAUGGAAGUUGCUGGCUUAACCAAAGUCGGCUCUUCUUAAAUACAUUAGCAAAGACCAUUGCUGACCAUCUUUGGUAUGAUAAUUAUCUAUAUCAUUGAUAACCGGUUCCCUCGCAUGGGGGUGGUUUUGCUCCCAAUCGUCUUCUAGACAAUUUGACAACUUUGACCUCAAAUCAGGUAGGACUACCCGCUGAACUUAA
Molecule: unclassified non-coding RNA, 295 nt
Filed under: Entoloma cetratum
Lineage: Eukaryota; Fungi; Basidiomycota; Agaricomycetes; Agaricales; Entolomataceae
Description: partial contains 5.8S ribosomal RNA, internal transcribed spacer 2, and large subunit ribosomal RNA
Source: RNAcentral